UAAGAAGGGGGCUAGCGUUGUUCGGAAUCACUGGGCGUAAAGCGCACGCAGGCGGAUCGAUAAGUAGGGGGUGAAAGCCCGGGGCUCAACCUCGGAAUGGCCUUCGAUACUGUCGGUCUCGAGUCCGGGAGAGGUGAGUGGAAGUCCUAGUGUAGAGGUGAAAUUCGUAGAUAUUAGGAAGAACACCAGUGGCGAAGGCUGCUCACUGGCCCGGUACUGACGCUCAGGUGCGAAAGCGUGGGGAGCAAACAGG
RNAcentral lists this ribosomal RNA (253 nucleotides) under uncultured bacterium. RNAcentral describes it as "partial 16S ribosomal RNA". It matches the Rfam family "Bacterial small subunit ribosomal RNA", at positions 524 to 776 of the family's 1533-position model. The record is from RNAcentral.